AACGAACGCUGGCGGCAGGCUUAACACAUGCAAGUCGAGCGGAGUCAGUAAGAGGAAGUUUUCGGAUGGAAUCUUAUUGAUUUAGCGGCGGACGGGUGAGUAACGCGUGAGCGACCAACCUUGCACAGGGGGAUAACGGACCGAAAGGUUCACUAAUACCGCAUGAGACCACGGUGUUGCAUGACACAGAGGUCAAAGGAGCAAUCCGGUGCAAGACGGGCUCGCGUCCGAUUAGGUAGUUGGAGGGGUAACGGCCCACCAAGCCUAUGAUCGGUAGCCGACCUGAGAGGGUGAUCGGCCACAUUGGAACUGAGAUACGGUCCAAACUCCUACGGGAGGCAGCAGUGGGGAAUAUUGGGCAAUGGGGGAAACCCUGGCCCAGCAACGCCGCGUGAAGGAAGAAGGUUUUCGGAUUGUAAACUUCUGUCCUUGGUGAAGAGAAGAAGACGGUAGCCAAGGAGGAAGCCCCGGCUAACUACGUGCCAGCAGCCGCUGUAA
RNAcentral lists this ribosomal RNA (498 nucleotides) under uncultured bacterium. RNAcentral describes it as "partial 16S ribosomal RNA". It matches the Rfam family "Bacterial small subunit ribosomal RNA", at positions 29 to 523 of the family's 1533-position model. The record is from RNAcentral.